RNAcentral lists this ribosomal RNA (472 nucleotides) under uncultured Sphingobacteriales bacterium. RNAcentral's name for it is "bacterial SSU rRNA". It matches the Rfam family "Bacterial small subunit ribosomal RNA", at positions 918 to 1380 of the family's 1533-position model. The record is from RNAcentral. Lineage: Bacteria; Pseudomonadati; Bacteroidota; Sphingobacteriia; Sphingobacteriales.
AAUGACGGCCCGCACAAGCAGCGGAGCGUGUGGUUUAAUUCGAUGUUACACGAAGAACCUUUACCUGGGUUUGACAUGCUAGUGGUAAUGAAGCGAAAGCUAAGUGACCCGCAAGGGAGCUAGCACAGGUGCUGCAUGGCUGUCGUCAGCUCGUGCCGUGAGGUGUCGGGUUAAGUCCCAUAACGAGCGCAACCCUUAUCGUUAGUUGCCAGCGGGUAAUGCCGGGAACUCUAACGAAACUGCCGGUGUAAACCGAGAGGAAGGUGGGAUGACGUCAAAUCAGCACGGCCCUUAUGUCCAGGGCUACACACGUGUUACAAUGGCCGGUACAGAGGGCAGCUACCUGGAGACAGGAUGCGAAUCUCGAAAGCCGGUCUCAGUUCGGAUCGGAGUCUGCAACUCGACUCCGUGAAGCUGGAUUCGCUAGUAAUCGCGCAUCAGCCAUGGCGCGGUGAAUACGUUCCCGGGCCUU